AGGACGAACGCUGGCGGCGUGCUUAACACAUGCAAGUCGAGCUGAAAGGCCCUUCGGGGUACUCGAGCGGCGAACGGGUGAGUAACACGUGAGUAAUCUGCCCUUAGCUCUGGGAUAGCUCCGGGAAACCGGGAUUAAUACCAGAUAUGACCACACUAGACAUCUGGUGUGGUGGAAAGGAUUCCGGCUAGGGAUGAGCUCGCGGCCUAUCAGCUUGUUGGUGGGGUAACGGCCUACCAAGGCGACGACGGGUAGCCGGCCUGAGAGGGCGACCGGCCACACUGGGACUGAGACACGGCCCAGACUCCUACGGGAGGCAGCAGUGGGGAAUAUUGCGCAAUGGGCGAAAGCCUGACGCAGCGACGCCGCGUGGGGGAUGAAGGCCUUCGGGUUGUAACCCUUUCAGCAGGGACGAAGCGAAAGUGACGGUACCUGCAGAAGAAGCGCCGGCUAACUACGUGCCAGCACCGC
RNAcentral lists this ribosomal RNA (471 nucleotides) under uncultured bacterium. RNAcentral describes it as "SSU rRNA". It matches the Rfam family "Bacterial small subunit ribosomal RNA", at positions 26 to 518 of the family's 1533-position model. The record is from RNAcentral.